RNAcentral lists this ribosomal RNA (233 nucleotides) under uncultured Candidatus Saccharibacteria bacterium. Its description in RNAcentral is "partial 16S ribosomal RNA". It matches the Rfam family "Bacterial small subunit ribosomal RNA", at positions 584 to 818 of the family's 1533-position model. The record is from RNAcentral. Lineage: Bacteria; Candidatus Saccharimonadota.
UAAGUAGAUAGUGAAGCGUUCGGCUCAACCAUACACCCAUUAUCUGAACUGCUAAGCUAGAGGGCGAGAGAGGUAGCUAGAAUUCCUUGUGUAGGAGUGAAAUCCGUAGAUAUAAGGAGGAAUACCGAUGGCGUAGGCAGGCUACUGGCUCGUCCCUGACACUAAGGCACGAAAGCGUGGGAGCGACCGGGAUUAGAUACCCCGUUAGUCCACGCCGUAAACGAUGGAUGCUA